CAAAUCCAUUAAGAAACCCGUAUGUGCAUUGUGCGGGUAUAAAUAUAGUGAUUCUGUGUUCCUUAGCCAGUUGAUACACUAACAUAGCAGUAUGAAGUCGUUCUUGGUUAUUGCUGCUCUCUUGGUAGUUUUAGUACUAGUGCAGGGUGACGAUUCAGAAAACACUCACAGACUACAGAAGAGACAGUUGUCCAGUUCCAUCCUCUUCCCGACGAAGCCUACUCCUCCACCGUGCAUCUUCUACGAGUGCAUCCGAAGCUGCCGAGCCAAGGGUUACCAAGGGGGAGGCUGGUGCAGCGCCAGCGGUUGUGCCUGUUACAGACGAUGAACCAUCAACUGCUAAAGAACACUCUAGGUCUAGAUUGUAGAACUUUUCAGAAGUAAAUAAAAAAAGUAAAAAUUGA
Aricia agestis (brown argus) is the source of this 404-nucleotide long non-coding RNA. RefSeq lists it as uncharacterized. The record is from RefSeq and is a predicted model, not a curated record. The transcript has 2 exons. Lineage: Eukaryota; Metazoa; Arthropoda; Insecta; Lepidoptera; Lycaenidae.